Molecule: long non-coding RNA, 568 nt
Filed under: Chinchilla lanigera (long-tailed chinchilla)
Lineage: Eukaryota; Metazoa; Chordata; Mammalia; Rodentia; Chinchillidae
Description: lncRNA (ENSCLAG00000025364.1)
Source: RNAcentral
GUCUUGCACACCCUGCCAGGCCAGUGGGAUUUGGGCUGCCCACAGGUGGGGCAUGAAGGAAAGGAAGUGCACAGCGCACAGGAGCUGGCUGCUGGGGCGGAGCCAGAACCUUCCCCGGGAAGAAUCUCCACUCACAACAGAGGCUUUCAGGGACCUGGGUUCAAGUUUCGCCAUCCGCAGGCCAUGUUACCUCCCUGCUCUGAACCUCAGUGAUGGAAUCAUCUCCCUGUAGCAUCUUUCCUGUAGUCACAGGAAAGACUGUUCUAUUGCCUAGGCUCUACCUUCAGUAGCACCAUGCUGGGGACCAUGCCUUUAACACAUGAGCCUUUGGGAACAUUCCAGACUCAAGCUAUGGCAUUGAAAGUCAUCAAUUUCUGCCUUGAAGGACAAUAAGCACAUGUAUGUGUCACCAGCACCUCUUUAGUCAUGAGUUGUCUGAUCUUGGGUGGGUCUCUUAGUCUUGCUGAGCCUCAGUUUCUUCCUCUGAAAAAUGGGCUUGACUAUACAGUAGAUUCUCCUUAUAUCUGGAAAAUGCAUUCCAAGACCCCCAGGGGAGGCCUAAACCUAC